Molecule: ribosomal RNA, 505 nt
Filed under: uncultured bacterium
Lineage: Bacteria
Description: bacterial SSU rRNA
Rfam family: Bacterial small subunit ribosomal RNA
Source: RNAcentral
AAAGGGAGCGUAGGCCGCCCCUUAAGCGUGUUGUGAAAUGCGGGUGCUCAACAUCCGACUUGCAGCGCGAACUGGGGGGCUUGAGUGCGCCGAAAGUAGGCGGAAUUCGUGGUGUAGCGGUGAAAUGCUUAGAUAUCACGAAGAACUCCGAUUGCGAAGGCAGCUUACUGUAGCGCAACUGACGCUGAUGCUCGAAAGCGUGGGUAUCGAACAGGAUUAGAUACCCUGGUAGUCCACGCGGUAAACGAUGGAUGCUCGUUGUCGGCCUUUGAGGCCGGUGACCAAGCGAAAGCGUUAAGCAUCCCACCUGGGGAGUACGCCGGCAACGGUGAAACUCAAAGGAAUUGACGGGGGCCCGCACAAGCGGAGGAACAUGUGGUUUAAUUCGAUGAUACGCGAGGAACCUUACCCGGGCUUGAACUGCGGCGGAACGAUUCCGAGAGGAUGAGGCCCUUCGGGGCUGCCGCGGAGGUGCUGCAUGGUUGUCGUCAGCUCGUGUCGUGAG